Molecule: ribosomal RNA, 853 nt
Filed under: Monochaetia sp.
Lineage: Eukaryota; Fungi; Ascomycota; Sordariomycetes; Amphisphaeriales; Sporocadaceae
Description: partial large subunit ribosomal RNA
Rfam family: Eukaryotic large subunit ribosomal RNA
Source: RNAcentral
CAACAGGGAUGCCCUUAGUAACGGCGAGUGAAGCGGCAACAGCUCAAAUUUGAAAUCUGGCCCUUGGGUCCGAAUUGUAAUUUGUAGAGGAUGAUUUUGGUGCGGUACCUUCCGAGUUCCUUGGAACAGGACGCCUUAGAGGGUGAGAGCCCCGUACGGUUGGAUACCUAGCCUCUGUAAAUCUCCUUCGACGAGUCGAGUAGUUUGGGAAUGCUGCUCUAAAUGGGAGGUAAAUUUCUUCUAAAGCUAAAUACUGGCCAGAGACCGAUAGCGCACAAGUAGAGUGAUCGAAAGAUGAAAAGCACUUUGAAAAGAGGGUUAAAUAGCACGUGAAAUUGUUGAAAGGGAAGGAUUUAUGACCAGACUUUUUCUGGGCAGAUCAUCCGGUGUUCUCACCGGUGCACUUUGCCCAGUUUAGGCCAGCAUCGAUUUCCGGAGGGGGAUAAAAGCUUUAGGAAUGUGGCUCCCUCGGGAGUGUUAUAGCCUAUUGUAUAAUACCUUUCUGGGGAUCGAGGUACGCGCUUCUGCAAGGAUGCUGGCGUAAUGGUUAUCAAUCACCCGUCUUGAAACACGGACCAAGGAGUCGAACAUUUGUGCGAGUGUUUGGGUGUUAAACCCUCACGCGUAAUGAAAGUGAACGGAGGUAAGAGCCCUUACGGGUGCAUUAUCGACCGAUCCUGAAGUUUUCGGAUGGAUUUGAGUAGGAGCAUAAAUGUUCGGACCCGAAAGAUGGUGAACUAUGCGUGGAUAGGGUGAAGCCAGAGGAAACUCUGGUGGAGGCUCGCAGCGGUUCUGACGUGCAAAUCGAUCGUCAAAUCUGCGCAUGGGGGCGAAAGACUAAUCGAACAUCAUA